Molecule: ribosomal RNA, 97 nt
Filed under: uncultured bacterium
Lineage: Bacteria
Description: partial 16S ribosomal RNA
Rfam family: Bacterial small subunit ribosomal RNA
Source: RNAcentral
CACACCGCCCGUCACACCACGAAAGCCUAUUGUACCUUAAGUCGCUGCGUCAACCGCAAGGAGACAGGCGCCCACGGUAUGAUUGGUGAUUGGGGUG